CAGUAGCCGCGGUAAUACGUAGGGUGCAAGCGUUACUCGGAAUUACUGGGCGUAAAGCGUGCGUAGGUGGUGGUUUAAGUCCGUUGUGAAAGCCCUGGGCUCAACCUGGGAAUUGCAGUGGAUACUGGGUCACUAGAGUGUGGUAGAGGAUAGUGGAAUUUCCGGUGUAGCAGUGAAAUGCGUAGAGAUCGGAAGGAACAUCUGUGGCGAAGGCGACUAUCUGGGCCAACACUGACACUGAGGCACGAAAGCGUGGGGAGCAAACAGGAUUAGAUACCCGAGUAGUCCCUGUCUCUUAUAA
This 301-nucleotide ribosomal RNA is filed under the name uncultured bacterium. Its description in RNAcentral is "partial 16S ribosomal RNA". It matches the Rfam family "Bacterial small subunit ribosomal RNA", at positions 509 to 809 of the family's 1533-position model. The record is from RNAcentral.